AACGGUCUAUACCUGCGGUACCUGCGGAGGGAUCAUUCAAAAUAAAAGUGAAAUUUAUAUGGCACUUUUAAAAAAAUCCAUAUUCACCUUGUGUGCAAUGUAAAUGAAAGAGAAGACUUGUCUUCUCUUUUAUAUCAUAUCAACUCUUUGCUUUGAAACCUGUUUGUCUGAAAUAAAAAUAUUCUUUGAAUAACUUAAUUCAAAAAUACAACUUUUAACAAUGGAUCUCUAGAUCGGAAG
Molecule: unclassified non-coding RNA, 240 nt
Filed under: soil metagenome
Description: partial contains 5.8S ribosomal RNA, internal transcribed spacer 2, and large subunit ribosomal RNA
Source: RNAcentral